RNAcentral lists this ribosomal RNA (423 nucleotides) under uncultured bacterium. RNAcentral's name for it is "partial 16S ribosomal RNA". It matches the Rfam family "Bacterial small subunit ribosomal RNA", at positions 359 to 774 of the family's 1533-position model. The record is from RNAcentral.
GAAUACUGGUCAAUGGUCGAAAGCCUGAUCAAGCAACCCCGCGUGGGUGAAGAAGGUCUUCGGAUUGUAAAGCACCUUAUGUUGGGAGGAAGGGCAGUGCGCGAAUACAUUCCUUUUUUGACUUUACACAAAGAAAACGACCCGGCCACCCCUUCGCCCGCCGCCGCGGUAAUACAGACGGUGCAAGCGUUACUCGGAAUUACUGCGCGUAAAGCGCGCGGAGGGUGUUCGUUAAGUUAGAUGUGAAAUCCCCGGGCUCAACCAGGGAACUGCAUCCAAAACUGGCGAGCUAGAGUAGGGCAGAGGGUGGUGGAAUUUCCUGUGGAGCGGUGAAAUGCGUAGAUAUAGGAAGGAACACCAGUGGCGAAGGCGACCACCUGGGCUCAUACUGACACUGAGGUGCGAAAGCGUGGGGAGCAAACA